CCUACGGGAGGCAGCAGUGAGGAAUAUUGGUCAAUGGGCGGGAGCCUGAACCAGCCAAGUCGCGUGAGGGAAGACGGUCCUAUGGAUUGUAAACCUCUUUAGGCGGGGAGCAAUGCCGGGCACGCGUGCCCGGAGGGAGAGUACCCGCAGAAUAAGCAUCGGCUAACUCCGUGCCAGCAGCCGCGGUAAUACGGAGGAUGCGAGCGUUAUCCGGAUUGAUUGGGUUUAAAGGGUGCUUAGGCGGAUUUUUAAGUCAGCGGUAAAAUGUCCGGGCUCAACCCGGGCCGGCCGUUGAAACUGGGGAUCUUGAGUGGGCGAGAGGUAUGCGGAAUGCGUGGUGUAGCGGUGAAAUGCAUAGAUAUCACGCAGAACUCCGAUUGCGAAGGCAGCAUACCGGCGCCCGACUGACGCUGAGGCACGAAAGCGUGGGGAUCGAACAGGAUUAGAUACCCCUGUAGUC
Molecule: ribosomal RNA, 460 nt
Filed under: uncultured bacterium
Lineage: Bacteria
Description: partial 16S ribosomal RNA
Rfam family: Bacterial small subunit ribosomal RNA
Source: RNAcentral